AAGAGGGAAACAACCCAGACCGCCAGCUAAGGUCCCUAAAAUUUGGGCUAAGUGGGAAACGAAGUGGGAAGGCUAAAACAGUCAGGAUGUUGGCUUAGAAGCAGCCAUCAUUUAAAGAAAGCGUAAUAGCUCACUGAUCGAGUCGUCCUGCGCGGAAGAUGUAACGGGGCUAAGCCAGUUACCGAAGCUGCGGAUGCACAGUUUUACUGUGCGUGGUAGGAGAGCGUUCUGUAGGCCUGUGAAGGUGUGUUGUAAAGCAUGCUGGAGGUAUCAGAAGUGCGAAUGCUGACAUGAGUAGCGUUAAAGGGGGUGAAAAGCCCCCUCGCCGUAAGCGCAAGGUUUCCUACGCAACGUUCAUCGGCGUAGGGUGAGUCGGCCCCUAAGGUGAGGCAGAGAUGCGUAGCUGAUGGGAAACAGGUCAAUAUUCCUGUACCGAUGUGUAGUGCGAUGUGGGGACGGAGAAGGUUAGCUCAGCCAACUGUUGGACAUGUUGGUUCAAGCCUGUAGUCGUGC
RNAcentral lists this ribosomal RNA (513 nucleotides) under uncultured bacterium. Its description in RNAcentral is "bacterial LSU rRNA". It matches the Rfam family "Bacterial large subunit ribosomal RNA", at positions 1013 to 1529 of the family's 2925-position model. The record is from RNAcentral.